GACAGAGGGUGCAAACGUUGUUCGGAAUUACUGGGCGUAAAGCGAGUGUAGGCGGUUUGGUAAGUCGGAUGUGAAAGCCCCGGGCUCAACCCGGGAAGUGCACUCGAUACUGCCAAGCUAGAGUAUCGGAGAGGUUGGUGGAAUUCUCGGUGUAGAGGUGAAAUUCGUAGAUAUCGAGAGGAACACCGGUGGCGAAGGCGGCCAACUGGACGAAUACUGACGCUGAGACGCGAAAGCGUGGGGAGCGAACAGG
RNAcentral lists this ribosomal RNA (253 nucleotides) under uncultured bacterium. RNAcentral's name for it is "partial 16S ribosomal RNA". It matches the Rfam family "Bacterial small subunit ribosomal RNA", at positions 524 to 776 of the family's 1533-position model. The record is from RNAcentral.